UGCAGUCGAACGAUGANGCAACUAGCUUGCUAGUUGUGGAUUAGUGGCGCACGGGUGAGUAAGGUAUAGUUAAUCUGCCCUACACAAGAGGACAACAGUUGGAAACGACUGCUAAUACUCUAUACUCCUGCUUAACAUAAGUUGAGUAGGGAAAGUUUUUCGGUGUAGGAUGAGACUAUAUAGUAUCAGCUAGUUGGUGAGGUAAUGGCUCACCAAGGCUAUGACGCUUAACUGGUCUGAGAGGAUGAUCAGUCACACUGGAACUGAGACACGGUCCAGACUCCUACGGGAGGCAGCAGUAGGGAAUAUUGCGCAAUGGGGGAAACCCUGACGCAGCAACGCCGCGUGGAGGAUGACACUUUUCGGAGCGUAAACUCCUUUUCUUAGGGAAGAAUUCUGACGGUACCUAAGGAAUAAGCACCGGCUAACUCCGUGCCAGCAGCCGCGGUAAUACGGAGGGUGCAAGCGUUACUCGGAAUCACUGGGCGUAAAGGGCGCGUAGGCGGAUUAUCAAGUCUCUUGUGAAAUCCAACGGCUUAACCGUUGAACUGCUUGGGAAACUGGUAAUCUAGAGUGGGGGAGAGGCAGAUGGAAUUGGUGGUGUAGGGGUAAAAUCCGUAGAUAUCACCAAGAAUACCCAUUGCGAAGGCGAUCUGCUGGAACUUAACUGACGCUAAGGCGCGAAAGCGUGGGGAGCAANCAGGAUUANAUACCCUGGUANUCCACGCCCUAA
Molecule: ribosomal RNA, 733 nt
Filed under: Campylobacter lari
Lineage: Bacteria; Pseudomonadati; Campylobacterota; Epsilonproteobacteria; Campylobacterales; Campylobacteraceae
Description: bacterial SSU rRNA
Rfam family: Bacterial small subunit ribosomal RNA
Source: RNAcentral